Gavialis gangeticus (Gharial) is the source of this 1256-nucleotide long non-coding RNA. RefSeq lists it as uncharacterized. The transcript has 4 exons. Lineage: Eukaryota; Metazoa; Chordata; Crocodylia; Gavialidae. The record is from RefSeq and is a predicted model, not a curated record.
GCUGAAGUACCAAACAAAACUUUCCAGGAGGAUCAAUUAAAGAAUCUUAAAGGAGAUAAAUGACACAGGCUGCCAUUUGUGUACCACUUCUGGACUCACCACUAUGGAAAGACAUUUACCCAGCAAAGAGAAGUCUAUUACAAAGUUGUGUGAGAGAGAGCACAAUACCAUCCCUGCUAGUAGUGCAACAGCAGUGGCAGCUAUAAUCAUUGUGGUGAGCUGGAAUUCAGAUUUCCCUGAGUUUUAUCCCCCAAUCCUGCUAUAAGCCUACAAACAAGUGCCUUUUCUGUCUGUAUUUCAGAUUUUGCCAUUUACAAGACAGUGACUAAAACAGUGAGCGACCCUGUGGAGCAGCUGACUCAGGAGGGAGAGAGACUUGGGAGACUGAGGGUUCCCAGGCUAGGCCAGAAUACUGUAGCACCUUUCACUUCAUCUACAUUUACGGAGCAGAGGGAAGAGUAAUGUGAAGCUCUUCGGAGGAUAUUGUGGUGAGACAGAAACUCCUUUACCUACCAACUCCUUACAAAGCAGCCACACUGACCACAUGCAGGCAACUUUAAAAGAGAAGAUGCUGGCUGGAUGCAUCAGUCACAGGAAGAGACAGAGGAAUCAGGCUCCCUGCCACCAACCUCAAACUUCAGCAAGCGGGAUGUGGGAAAAACCAAAUGCCAGCUGCAGCCAAGUUAAACUGCAAAAGACCUUCAUUCCUGAGGAAUUUUUGAAUUAAAUGCUGGAUAGAGCCUGCCAGAUUCUAUUGGAAAUGACUGUCAACUGGUUUUAAAUAACAGUCUUUCAUGUUUAUGUUUUUAUGUUACUUUCCAUUGUUUGUUGAUUUCCCUUCAGACAGUUGGACAUUUCAAUCUUUCACUAAGCACUGUUUUGUUCCUUCUUAUUUGGCAGACAGAUACUUAGUUAUUGUAUCAGUCCAGCUUGAAACAAAAUGGCUGUUUGGUAAGCUGCUAGUGAACUGGUGCUGUAGGGUCAGCAGGGGGAGCUCACAACUAGACUUUUUAUAGGUCCUGCAGAAACCCUGCUUGUUUCUGUUAAUGGUUGUUCAGUGCAUCUCCACUUGAUAUUGCCUGCUGGAUUACUAUGGGUCCUACUGCACUUCAUAUGAAACAGCCUGGGCCUAUUUGAAAUGAACUCUUCAUGCAUUUUUUACCUUUACUCUUUGCUAAAUCACCUGCUAAUUGUGCAGCUUCCCAUGUGCAGCAUUUUCCACCGCGUCCAAAAUAUCUUUUUGUAAUUCCAUGUCA